GAGGGUGUAGCUCAAGUGAUAGAGUGCAUGCCUAGCAUGCACAAGGUCCUGGGUUCAAUCCCCAGUACCUCCU
RNAcentral lists this transfer RNA (73 nucleotides) under Camelus bactrianus (Bactrian camel). It matches the Rfam family "tRNA". From Rfam's summary of the family: Transfer RNA (tRNA) molecules are approximately 80 nucleotides in length. Their secondary structure includes four short double-helical elements and three loops (D, anti-codon, and T loops). Further hydrogen bonds mediate the characteristic L-shaped molecular structure. tRNAs have two regions of fundamental functional importance: the anti-codon, which is responsible for specific mRNA codon recognition, and the 3' end, to which the tRNAs corresponding amino acid is attached (by aminoacyl-tRNA synthetases). tRNAs cope with the degeneracy of the genetic code in two manners: having more than one tRNA (with a specific anti-codon) for a particular amino acid; and 'wobble' base-pairing, i.e. permitting non-standard base-pairing at the 3rd anti-codon position. Lineage: Eukaryota; Metazoa; Chordata; Mammalia; Artiodactyla; Camelidae. The record is from Rfam by way of RNAcentral. RNAcentral also lists the same sequence under 2 other names.